This 393-nucleotide ribosomal RNA is filed under the name uncultured bacterium. Its description in RNAcentral is "partial 16S ribosomal RNA". It matches the Rfam family "Bacterial small subunit ribosomal RNA", at positions 523 to 918 of the family's 1533-position model. The record is from RNAcentral.
AUACGGAGGAUCCGAGCGUUAUCCGGAUUUAUUGGGUUUAAAGGGUGCGCAGGCGGGAGAUUAAGUCGGCGGUGAAAUUUUGCAGCUCAACUGUAAAAGUGCCUUCGAAACUGGUUUCCUUGAGUGUAGAUGAAGUAGGCGGGAUUUGUGGUGUAGCGGUGGAAUGCAUAGAUAUCACGAGGAACUCCGAUUGCGCAGGCAGCUUACUAAACUACUACUGACGCUCAGGCACGAAGGCGUGGGGAUCAAACAGGAUUAGAUACCCUGGUAGUCCACGCAGUAAACGAUGAUUACUAGCUGUUUGCGAUACAAUGUAAGCGGCUGAGCGAAAGCGUUAAGUAAUCCACCUGGGGAGUACGUUCGCAAGAAUGAAACUCAAAGGAAUUGACGGGG